RNAcentral lists this long non-coding RNA (635 nucleotides) under Malus domestica (apple). RNAcentral describes it as "long non-coding RNA (MDOM_LNC010580)". The record is from RNAcentral. Lineage: Eukaryota; Viridiplantae; Streptophyta; Magnoliopsida; Rosales; Rosaceae.
CAAUCACCAUAUACUACACCUGAACAAACAACAGAAAUAUUAAGCCAAAAAUAAAAAAUAAAAAAAUAAAAAAAAUAAAAGUAAAAUAAAAUAAAACUUAACAGAAACUAAUUAAACAACAAAAAAGAAAAGAAAGUAAGUAAACCUAGAUGAAUUAAAAAAAACACCUGCUGCAGGUAAGGCUAGGGCCAUGUGUGCAAUUGGUGCCAAAGGUUGGAAAAUAGAUGUGCUGCUCUCAGGAUCACGGAACAAAUCCUUAAGAAAAGUAUCACCAAGGUUGGAAUCUUGUGCUAAAUAUUUUUCUCUAGCUAACUUCCUUGCACUUCUCUCUGGUUCAGGGUCGUAAGGAAUAAGCACUUGAUUCUUGGAUCUUGUUCCAAUCACCAUAUACUACACCUGAACAAACAACAGAAAUAUUAAGCCAAAAAUAAAAAAUAAAAAAUAAAAAUAAAAAUAAAAGUAAAAUAAAAUAAAACUUAACAGAAACUAAUUAAACAACAAAAAAGAAAAGAAAGUAAGUAAACCUAGAUGAAUUAAAAAAAACACAAUUUAUGCAAAUUGGCAACCACUAGUUAGUUAAACAAAGACAAAAAUCUCACACCACACAUCCACUGCACUUAAUCAAAGAUCAAAAC